This 484-nucleotide ribosomal RNA is filed under the name uncultured bacterium. RNAcentral's name for it is "partial 16S ribosomal RNA". It matches the Rfam family "Bacterial small subunit ribosomal RNA", at positions 30 to 507 of the family's 1533-position model. The record is from RNAcentral.
AUUGAACGCUGGCGGCAUGCUUUACACAUGCAAGUCGAACGGCAGCGCGGGCUUCGGCCUGGUGGCGUGUGGCGCAGGGGAGUGUCAUGCAACGGAACGUGCCCUGACGUCGGGGUUACCCCGGCGAACGCCGGCUUAUUACCGCAUACGACCUGAGGGUGAAAGCGGGGGAUCGAAAGGUUCCGCGCUAUUGGAGCGACCGAUGUCGGAUUAGCUAGUUGGUGGGGUAAUGGCUUACCAAGGCGUCGAUCCGUAGCUGGUCUGAGAGGACGACCAGCCACACAGGGGCUGAGACGCGACCCUGACUCCGACAGGAGGCACAGAUUGCUAAGUGUGGACAAUGUGGGGAACCCUGAUCCAUCCACGCCGCGUUCAUGAAGAAGGGCCUCGGGUGGUAAACCGGUUUUGGUCGUGAAAAAAUCCUCUGGGCUAAGACACCGUUGUGAUGACGGUACCUGAAGAAUAAGCACCGGCUAACUACGUG